RNAcentral lists this ribosomal RNA (559 nucleotides) under Bacillus sp. (in: firmicutes). RNAcentral's name for it is "bacterial SSU rRNA". It matches the Rfam family "Bacterial small subunit ribosomal RNA", at positions 761 to 1320 of the family's 1533-position model. The record is from RNAcentral. Lineage: Bacteria; Bacillati; Bacillota; Bacilli; Caryophanales; Bacillaceae.
GUGGGGAGCGAACAGGAUUAGAUACCCUGGUAGUCCACGCCGUAAACGAUGAGUGCUAAGUGUUAGGGGGUUUCCGCCCCUUAGUGCUGCAGCUAACGCAUUAAGCACUCCGCCUGGGGAGUACGGUCGCAAGACUGAAACUCAAAGGAAUUGACGGGGGCCCGCACAAGCGGUGGAGCAUGUGGUUUAAUUCGAAGCAACGCGAAGAACCUUACCAGGUCUUGACAUCCUCUGACAAUCCUAGAGAUAGGACGUCCCCUUCGGGGGCAGAGUGACAGGUGGUGCAUGGUUGUCGUCAGCUCGUGUCGUGAGAUGUUGGGUUAAGUCCCGCAACGAGCGCAACCCUUGAUCUUAGUUGCCAGCAUUCAGUUGGGCACUCUAAGGUGACUGCCGGUGACAAACCGGAGGAAGGUGGGGAUGACGUCAAAUCAUCAUGCCCCUUAUGACCUGGGCUACACACGUGCUACAAUGGACAGAACAAAGGGCAGCGAAACCGCGAGGUUAAGCCAAUCCCACAAAUCUGUUCUCAGUUCGGAUCGCAGUCUGCAACUCGACUGCG